CUUGUCCCUUCCCCCUCCGUGAGGAGAGAAUGCCAGUCCUCUACCUGCUGUGGCAAGGAAAAAGAACUGCAAACUCUAAACAAACCAAGAGAAAGCAUCCUAGCUUAAAGGGCUUUCAAUCCCGAUGGAGUUGGCCUCCAGGGAGGAAGAGAAACCUUUCCCUAGAAGAAUCAUUCCGAAACACAGGAUCCAGGAUGCGCGAGCUUUGGCUGCCACGCUGUCUGUCCCCCAUUAAAUGGUAAUAUUUCAGG
This is a non-coding RNA of Monodelphis domestica (gray short-tailed opossum), 251 nucleotides long. The record is from RefSeq and is a predicted model, not a curated record. Lineage: Eukaryota; Metazoa; Chordata; Mammalia; Didelphimorphia; Didelphidae.